Molecule: ribosomal RNA, 375 nt
Filed under: uncultured bacterium
Lineage: Bacteria
Description: bacterial SSU rRNA
Rfam family: Bacterial small subunit ribosomal RNA
Source: RNAcentral
AUUGAACGCUGGCGGUAUGCCUAACACAUGCAAGUCGAACGAGGUAGCAAUACCUAGUGGCGGACGGGUGAGGAAUACGUAGGGAUCUGCCCUUAAGUGGGGGAUAACCCGGGGGAAACCCGGAUUAAUACCGCAUGAUCUCGCAAGAGCAAAGAGAGGGACCGCAAGGCCUCUCGCUUUUGGAGGAACCUACGUCGGAUUAGCUAGUUGGUGAGGUAAUGGCUCACCAAGGCGACGAUCCGUAACUGGUCUGAGAGGAUGAUCAGUCACACCGGAACUGAGACACGGUCCGGACUCCUACGGGAGGCAGCAGUGGGGAAUAUUGGACAAUGGGCGAAAGCCUGAUCCAGCAAUACCGCGUGUGUGAAGAAGGCC